AGAGCGAACGCUGGCGGCAGGCCUAAUACAUGCAAGUCGAGCGCACCUUCGGGUGAGCGGCGGACGGGUGAGUAACGCGUGGGAAUAUGCCCUUUGGUACGGAACAACUGAGGGAAACUUCAGCUAAUACCGUAUGUGCCCUUCGGGGGAAAGAUUUAUCGCCAUUGGAGUAGCCCGCGUUGGAUUAGGUAGUUGGUGAGGUAAAGGCUCACCAAGCCUACGAUCCAUAGCUGGUCUGAGAGGAUGAUCAGCCACAUUGGGACUGAGACACGGCCCAAACUCCUACGGAAGGCAGCAGUAGGGAAUCUUGCGCAAUGGGCGAAAGCCUGACGCAGCCAUGCCGCGUGAAUGAUGAAGGUCUUAGGAUUGUAAAAUUCUUUCACCGGGGAAGAUAAUGACGGUACCCGGAGAAGAAGCCCGGCUAACUUCGCGCCAGCAGCCGC
This 443-nucleotide ribosomal RNA is filed under the name uncultured bacterium. Its description in RNAcentral is "SSU rRNA". It matches the Rfam family "Bacterial small subunit ribosomal RNA", at positions 26 to 518 of the family's 1533-position model. The record is from RNAcentral.